RNAcentral lists this long non-coding RNA (525 nucleotides) under Numida meleagris (helmeted guineafowl). Its description in RNAcentral is "lncRNA (ENSNMEG00000020534.1)". Lineage: Eukaryota; Metazoa; Chordata; Aves; Galliformes; Numididae. The record is from RNAcentral.
CCUGGCUGCUGCACAGGUGUUGUGCAUGUGGAGCCUAUCAAAGGGUGGGGUUGGGCAUCAAGCCCCAGCUGGUAGUCCUCGUUAUUGCAGUGCAGGAGGGAGGCCUGGGGGCAGAGGUGGUUAUGCUUGAAGAGGAGGAUGGGUGCCUUGCUGCCUGCCUGCCCGCCCGCCAGGAUGUGCAGUGCCUGGGAGAUCUUUCUCAGGAUCAGAUUGUGGACAGCAGGCUUGAGGCUUCCCUGGAGCCUGCUUGUCCGCGCCACAGGGUGGCUUCUUUAGCUCAUCUGCGUGGCCUGAAAACAAGUGAUGCAACUCCUCUUGCAUGGACUGAAAAGCAGCCAUGGUUCCCAGAUAGAACUUACUUCAGUGUUACUGACUGUUGAGUGAAGAGAAGGGUUGGUACCAGCAUGAGCUAAAUGCACAUGGCAGUGUCCCUGGUUGCAGUAUUUUGCAGAGACUGAAUGGGGAUUGGCUGAAUCCAGAAGUUUCCACAGCAGUUUUUCAGUCCAUGUUACACACUAAGCAAAU